AAAAAUUUUAAAAAAUGUUUUAUAAUAAACAUAGUAAUACUCAAAUUACAAAAAAAAAAAAAAAAUUUUAUAUAAAUUACUAGAUAAGUUUACCAAAGGUGGAAGAGGACUCCUCCAUAUUCUUUCCAAAAAGGGACAAGUUUGGGCAUUGUAUCUAAAUUGGUCCCUGAGUGGAACAAGAAUACCCCAGAUAAAGUUAAACACAAGUAUGAGAUGGUGGAAUACGCCAGAAUCUAGAUUUCCUUUAUUCUAUUAUUCUUAAUCUCACUUCUUCGACCUUUUUAUGCAACCAAUAUAGGCAUAAUCAUUGGAAUAU
Molecule: small RNA, 316 nt
Filed under: Arabidopsis thaliana (thale cress)
Lineage: Eukaryota; Viridiplantae; Streptophyta; Magnoliopsida; Brassicales; Brassicaceae
Description: ATSL100680
Source: RNAcentral